AUGAACGCCAUGAGCUGGAACUGUCGAGGGCUUGGGAACCCUGGGACAGUUCGAGAGCUUCACAAGCUUGUGAAGCAAGAAGGCCCCACCCUGCUUUUUGUCAUGGAGACAAAGAUCAGGGGAAAACGUGUGGAAGAUUUGAAGUUUACAUUAGGAUUCUCCGGCUGUUAUGCCGUCGACAGCGACGGUUUGAGCGGAGGGAUCGGUCUGUUUUGG
Molecule: ribosomal RNA, 216 nt
Filed under: Triticum aestivum (bread wheat)
Lineage: Eukaryota; Viridiplantae; Streptophyta; Magnoliopsida; Poales; Poaceae
Description: partial small subunit ribosomal RNA
Source: RNAcentral